UACGGAGCACUGGCCGCGACCUGGCCAAGAAAUGAGCAAUUCACUGUACAUUGACGGGAUACCCUAGUUCGGCCUUCCCGGCCAAUGGAAGCCAGCAGUAUCCUGAAACCCAACGGCAUCGUCAUUCGUUAGGCCGAGAGGACGCGGGAUGGUUAGGGUUGACUUCGUUGAAAAGGCAUAAAGAGGUGAAAAGUGGGCUGAAUGCCGAGAUAUGCCGAACACGGAGUAGGCUAGCCAAGACAUUGGGUCUGGCGUUCCUGGGUAUCCUCAACUGAAAUUUAGUCCAAGCACAGGGGGACAGUAGAUAUCGCCCCUAGUCAGAGAGACGCAUUAUUGACACACUGAAAACGGCUUGGUCCGGGUUGGACUCAAAUUG
Molecule: small RNA, 376 nt
Filed under: Histoplasma capsulatum
Lineage: Eukaryota; Fungi; Ascomycota; Eurotiomycetes; Onygenales; Ajellomycetaceae
Also listed under: 1 other name
Description: hypothetical RNA
Source: RNAcentral